UACGGGGGGGGCAAGCGUUGUUCGGAAUUACUGGGCGUAAAAGGCUUGUAGGUGGCCACGCCAAGUCGGAUGUGAAAUCUCCCGGCUCAACUGGGAGGGGUCAUUCGAUACUGGCGGGCUCGAGGCCGGUAGGGGGAAGUGGAAUUCCCGGUGUAGUGGUGGAAUGCGUAGAUAUCGGGAGGAACACCAGUGGCGAAGGCGGCUUCCUGGACCGGUUCUGACACUGAGGAGCGAAAGCGUGGGGAGCGAUCCGG
This 254-nucleotide ribosomal RNA is filed under the name uncultured bacterium. RNAcentral's name for it is "partial 16S ribosomal RNA". It matches the Rfam family "Bacterial small subunit ribosomal RNA", at positions 524 to 776 of the family's 1533-position model. The record is from RNAcentral.